GAUGAACGCUGGCGGCGUGCCUAAUACAUGCGAGUCGAGCGAACAGAUAAGGAGCUUGCUCCUUUGACGUUAGCGGCGGACGGGUGAGUAACACGUGGAUAACCUACCUAUAAGACUGGGAUAACUUCGGGAAACCGGAGCUAAUACCGGAUAAGAUUUUGAACCGCAUGGUUCAAUAGUGAAAGACGGCCUUGCUGUCACUUAUAGAUGGAUCCGCGCCGUAUUAGCUAGUUGGUAAGGUAACGGCUUACCAAGGCAACGAUACGUAGCCGACCUGAGAGGGUGAUCGGCCACACUGGAACUGAGACACGGUCCAGACUCCUACGGGAGGCAGCAGUAGGGAAUCUUCCGCAAUGGGCGAAAGCCUGACGGAGCAACGCCGCGUGAGUGAUGAAGGUCUUCGGAUCGUAAAACUCUGUUAUCAGGGAAGAACAAACGUGUAAGUAACUGUGCACGUCUUGACGGUACCUGAUCAGAAAGCCACGGCUAACUACGUG
Molecule: ribosomal RNA, 497 nt
Filed under: uncultured bacterium
Lineage: Bacteria
Description: partial 16S ribosomal RNA
Rfam family: Bacterial small subunit ribosomal RNA
Source: RNAcentral